This 459-nucleotide ribosomal RNA is filed under the name uncultured bacterium. RNAcentral describes it as "partial 16S ribosomal RNA". It matches the Rfam family "Bacterial small subunit ribosomal RNA", at positions 338 to 795 of the family's 1533-position model. The record is from RNAcentral.
CCUACGGGAGGCUGCAGUGAGGAAUAUUGGUCAAUGGGCGGGAGCCUGAACCAGCCAAGUCGCGUGAAGGAAGAAGGUCCUUAGUCUUGUAAACUUCUUUUGUCGGGGAACAAAGGCGGAGGCGCGUCUCCGCAUGAGUGUACCCGAAGCAAAAGCAUCGGCUAACUCCGUGCCCGCAGCCGCGGUACUACGGAGGAUGCGAGCUUUAUCCGGAUGUCUGUGGUGUCAGGGGUGCGCAGGCGGGAGAUAAAGUCAGCGGUAAAAUGUAGGGGUUCAACCCCGGCCGGCCGUUGAAACUGGUUUUCUAGAGUUGGAGAGAAGUAUGCGGAAUUCGUGGUGUAGCGGUGAAAUGCAUAGAUAUCACGAAGAACUCCGAGUGCGAAGGCAGCAUACCGGCGCCCGACUGACGCUGAGGCACGAAAGCGUGGGGAUCGAACAGGAUUAGAUACCCGGGUAGUC